GGGAACAAGAAUCUCAGUAGACUGGAUCACAAGAAAAUGUUCUACCCUUGGAAGCAGAAGAGAAAAAGUACUUUCGUUUUUUUGAAGUAAUCCAAUUUUUCAUAUAGUACGAAAUUUCAAUAUACAAAAAGAAUCAAGCAAAGAAUACAUCUCUAGCCAUAUGCUAUACCAAACAAACAAACACAUCAAAUGAUAAAGAAAAAUUACAAACAAACAAAAGAAAAAGUUUUAAACGAAGUAUCAAAAGAACUGCUCUCUCAUCCCUUGUUUCCAUCGCGACAAUGAUUAUCGUGAUUACAGGGCCUGUCGUACCUAUUAGCAGCAGGCUUUUGGGGAAGACAUGUCUUCAGGUCGCCACCACAAGAAGGGGAGGACCCACGAAUCUGACCAUAGUCGAUGUAUUUACCUGGUACAUCUCUAGCCCAGACUGACGCCAACAGCAUCAAGACAACGACGCAAAAAGCCCUAAUUAGAGUGAUAUUGGCCAUUUUCCGCCGCGGUUUAUAUUUUACUGCUUAAUUGAAUUAUAUAGUGUUAGGGUUUAGCGGCUAAGAGGUUUCCACUCUAUGUUAGAGGUUAUUAUUUUGUAUGGGCUUUGAAUAAAU
This 605-nucleotide long non-coding RNA is filed under the name Gossypium raimondii (Peruvian cotton). Its description in RNAcentral is "long non-coding RNA (GRAI_LNC005399)". The record is from RNAcentral. Lineage: Eukaryota; Viridiplantae; Streptophyta; Magnoliopsida; Malvales; Malvaceae.